This is a long non-coding RNA of Quercus robur (English oak), 810 nucleotides long. RefSeq lists it as uncharacterized. Lineage: Eukaryota; Viridiplantae; Streptophyta; Magnoliopsida; Fagales; Fagaceae. The transcript is spliced from 2 exons. The record is from RefSeq and is a predicted model, not a curated record.
UAACUCUCUUUGUCAAACCUAAUUACUUUUCACGAUUACAACAUAUAAUAUUCCCCUUCCUUCUGUUACAUGGAGCCCUAUCUCUACUUUAAAUUCCAGCCCACACCCAAAGCCUUUUCAGCUAACUCCUUUUGUCAAACUUGAAUGCUUUUCACGGUUACAACUUAUGCCUUUCCUUUUCAGGUUUAGUUCCUUCCCCUACCCCACCUGUUUCAGCUUCUGUUCUAUCAUUUCACGUUUUGUUUCAUCCACCCCAUAUCACGAUUUCAGCUUCUGUUCUACUAUUUCACUCACGGUUUCAUCUUCCUGUUCUACGGUUUCAGCUUCUAUUUUCGCUUCUAACGGCAGCCUCUCUGUCUUCCUUCAUCUCCUCACAUCCAUAUAAAUACUGACAUAAGCCGGGUGAUUCAGUUGAGGGGCUAUCAUGGUUGUUGAAGCAUCAAAGCCGAUUGCAGUGGUUGAUGCGUAUGGGUUUUUUAAGUACAAAAAGUAGAAUGUUUGUGAGUUUCAUUUAGUUUCCAACUUAUAAUAUUUAAAUUUGGUGUUUCACAUUCAUGAGGUGAAGUGUUGUUUGAUUGGCCCGUCCUUAUGAAACAUGCGUGAAACCGUGAUUUGAAUAGGAAAAUAUGACAAAAUCCUAUUUGUUAUUGGUGCAAUUGUUGUGAGAAGUCCAAAUUAACUAGAUAGGUAAUUUGCAGUGAUGAUUGUAUGGUCUAGAAGUUCUAUAAUCUUAGUGAUGAUUGGGUUUUGAUGCAUUGCUAAUUUGAUUUUCCACUAAAGAAUAGUAAAAAGUUCUGGAUUAAUCUCCCA